This is a long non-coding RNA of Zonotrichia albicollis (white-throated sparrow), 807 nucleotides long. Lineage: Eukaryota; Metazoa; Chordata; Aves; Passeriformes; Passerellidae. The record is from Ensembl.
GUAUCUACUAGAUAGAUGUAAGAAUAAUGUGUGAAUCAUAAGGACAUAAGAUUGAAAUGAAAGUCUGUCAAAAGAAGGGGAGUAAGACACUGUGUAAUUUGUCUUGCACAGAUGAAUUCCAUCCUUCUGGUAUCUGAAGAUAUUUAAAAACUGGAGAAAAUAAAAGAAUUCCCUCUACCAUUCUCUGGAAGAAUUUGAAGCAGAUGAAUAAACAGAAUAAAGGAAUGGAUGAGUAUGUCUUGGUGAAACACUAUCAAGACUUUGGUCAAAAUUAGGCUGAACAUUCACUGUGUGCAUUUGAAAAUUCUUGUUGAGUAGAAAUGAAUCAAUGAACACCAAGUGAUGGCACUUGAGAAAGCCCUUGAGGAAGGAAUGGUCAAGAAUUAACCAAAGAGUGAAAACUGAAACUGCUGGAAAGACAGAUCACAGAAUCAUCAAGAACCAGCCUGGAUGGUGGUUUGGGCUGACACCUGCUUUCAAAGACCCUCUGAGAAAGAGGCUGAAGGAACGUGCAUGGAAGGUGGCACGAGGAAGGGAGACCCACGGGGUGUCAGAGGCAGGCAGCAGCCAUGGCCGGACAUGAACCUGGUCAGAGCGUGGCCUCGCGGGCACCGGGAAGGUGUCAGCAGACAGUGCAUGUCCAGGUGAUUAGUGUCUACCAGCCUGUUUUGAAUAGUGGCAGUAGGAUACACGGUUUAGAAGAAGAUGUGGUGUUUGAUACUUGUAUGAGAAAUUUCCAGAGGAACUGUGAAUGGUUGAGAAGCUGGACAAAUCUCUGCAUAAUGCAUAAUCUGUGUCAGGUAUAGU